UGAGAGCAUCCUCACUGGAUGCAUCACCACCUGGUAUGGCAACAGCACCGCCUACAACUGCAAAGCUCUCCAGCGAGUAGUGCGGUGCUCUGAACGGAUAAUUGGAGGUGAGCUUCCCUCCCUCCAAGAUAUCUACAGGAAGCGCUGCCUGAGGAAAGGGGGGAGGAUCAUCAAGGACUCCAGUCACCCCAGCCAUGAACUGUUCAGACUGCUUCCAUCAGGAAGGAGGUUCUGCAGCAUCCGGUCCCGUACCAGCAGACUGAGAGACAGCUUCUUCCAUCAGGCCAUCAGACUGCUGAACACGUCAUAGACACCUCAGCUUCACUACUGGAACUUCAACAUUAUGCACUCCACACUGUAUAUAAAUGCCACUUGUUUUGCACAUAUUCAACUCUGUAUAUUUAUAUAUUUUAUUAUUAUUAUUAUUAUUAUUUUUUUUUUUUUUACUAUUUAAUUUGUAAAAAUGUGUAUACACACACACACACACACACACACACACACACACACACACACACACACACACACACACACACACACGUAGGAAAAUAUUUAGUAUACACAUCCAGAAAUGCAUACACUAUUAUAUAUUGUACAUAUAUUUAUUAGUUUCAGGUUGGCCAUUCUUGUAUUUUGCUCGUUUGUGUUGUUGUGUUUGCACAUCUCUGUUGCUUGUGGGGCUCGCACACAAGAAUUUCACUCGCAUGUGCUGUGCCAGUGUGCCUGCACAUGUGAUGUGACAAUAAAAGUGAUUUGAUUUGAUUUGAUUUAAUUAGCAUAGGGACGCUGAAGGUCACUAUUCGCGUUCUUAUGGGGCCGAGGCAUCCCAUAAGAAUGUGACAAAUCUUUGGUAUGUUAUGUGUUUAGUAUGUUGCUUUGUUUUUGUUUUGUUUUUUUGUCUUUUUUGCUUGUUUUCUAUUCCUCUCUCAACAGGUGAUCCAGGAGAUUUUUAUUUUUUUUCUCCCCCCCUUUCUCACUGUCCCUCUCCCCUUCUGUUUUUCCUUUCCUUCCUCUUUCUCUCUCCCUUUCCUAUCCCUCACUCAUGUCUGUCCCGUCUGUAACAUCUGAAAAUAAAAUAUAAUAAAUAAUAAAAACAAAGAUCGACCAAAUGGACCAAUACGGCAAUGCCACGAUGAUCCAUUUGGCAAAGUAAAUCCAUUGGGUAUCCUUGUUGGUCUUCAGACAACAAUUCUGAUGGCUAAAGAACCAAAUGGGACAGGCGGAAAGAAAAGGGAAAAAAAAAGGAGAAAAAAGGAAAAAAAAAAGGAAAAAAGAGAAAAAAAGAAAGAAAAAAAAAAAAGGAAAAGAGAAUGGUCUCGGUCAAUCUGACCACUUUUCUGUGCUCCUCAUCCCUGCCCACAACCCCCUCAGGAAACAGAGUGCUCCAAGCACCCAGGUCAUUAAAACAUGGCCAGGUUAUGCUCUCCUCCAGCUACAGGACUGUUUUGAUCUGACAAAUUGUUCCGUCUUUGAUCAGCGGAACCUGGAGACGUGAUGCUUUAGCUCCGCUGAUUAAGAUGACCCUAUUAACUGCCAUUCAAUCUCAAAUAAGGCAUUUGUUCUCAAUGACCUUUUUAUUCGGAAUAACUUGUAUUUUAUGUUCCUAACCGAACCUUGGCAGCAGAAUAUGGAACGUGUUCAUUUUAGUGAACUGUGCCCAGCAGACUGUAAUUGUCUAACCACACUGCACCUUUCAGUACGUGGAGGUGGGCUGGAAGUUAUUGCUAGAAACUCCUUUUUCUGUUGUCUGGUGAAAACCUCCUUCCUUUAACUCUUUUGAAAUUCAGAUGAUGGAGCUCAAUAGGACUUAUCCCUUCUAUGUGAUCUUAAUCUAUAGGCCACCGGGACUAGCCAGGAGUUUCUUAGUGGAGUUUGUGGACUUUCUAUCCUCAACCAUCAAGCUGGAAAGAAUCCUUCUGCUGGGGGAUUUUAAUUUCCAUGUUGCUGACAGUUCAUGUCACGCUGCUUCUCAUUUUCUUACUCUCUUAGACUAGACUUUGCCCAACACACAGCGGAGGCCAUAAUUUAUCUGAAACCGAUGAUAUAGAUAUAUGUGGCCUCCUUCAACUCGCAAUGUCAAAA
Astatotilapia calliptera (eastern happy) is the source of this 2079-nucleotide long non-coding RNA. Lineage: Eukaryota; Metazoa; Chordata; Actinopteri; Cichliformes; Cichlidae. The record is from Ensembl.